UACGUAGGGUGCAAGCGUUGUCCGGAAUUAUUGGGCGUAAAGGGCGCGCAGGCGGCUACGCACGUCCGUUGUGAAAUCGCUCGGCUCAACUGGGCGGGGUCAGCGGAUACGGCGUAGCUGGAGCAAGCUAGGGGGCAAUGGAAUUCCCGGUGUAGUGGUGGAAUGCGUAGAUAUCGGGAGGAACACCAGUGGCGAAGGCGGUUGCCUGGAGCUUUGCUGACGCUGAGGCGCGAAAGCGUGGGGAGCGAUCCGG
This 253-nucleotide ribosomal RNA is filed under the name uncultured bacterium. RNAcentral's name for it is "partial 16S ribosomal RNA". It matches the Rfam family "Bacterial small subunit ribosomal RNA", at positions 524 to 776 of the family's 1533-position model. The record is from RNAcentral.